RNAcentral lists this ribosomal RNA (712 nucleotides) under Vibrio sp. RNAcentral describes it as "bacterial SSU rRNA". It matches the Rfam family "Bacterial small subunit ribosomal RNA", at positions 56 to 749 of the family's 1533-position model. The record is from RNAcentral. Lineage: Bacteria; Pseudomonadati; Pseudomonadota; Gammaproteobacteria; Vibrionales; Vibrionaceae.
UGCAAGUCGAGCGGAACGAGUUAUCUGAACCUUCGGGGAACGAUAACGGCGUCGAGCGGCGGACGGGUGAGUAAUGCCUAGGAAAUUGCCCUGAUGUGGGGGAUAACCAUUGGAAACGAUGGCUAAUACCGCAUGAUGCCUACGGGCCAAAGAGGGGGACCUUCGGGCCUCUCGCGUCAGGAUAUGCCUAGGUGGGAUUAGCUAGUUGGUGAGGUAAGGGCUCACCAAGGCGACGAUCCCUAGCUGGUCUGAGAGGAUGAUCAGCCACACUGGAACUGAGACACGGUCCAGACUCCUACGGGAGGCAGCAGUGGGGAAUAUUGCACAAUGGGCGCAAGCCUGAUGCAGCCAUGCCGCGUGUAUGAAGAAGGCCUUCGGGUUGUAAAGUACUUUCAGUCGUGAGGAAGGUGGUAGUGUUAAUAGCUGCUAGUUUGACGUUAGCUGCAGAAGAAGCACCGGCUAACUCCGUGCCAGCAGCCGCGGUAAUACGGAGGGUGCGAGCGUUAAUCGGAAUUACUGGGCGUAAAGCGCAUGCAGGUGGUUUGUUAAGUCAGAUGUGAAAGCCCGGGGCUCAACCUCGGAAUAGCAUUUGAAACUGGCAGACUAGAGUACUGUAGAGGGGGGUAGAAUUUCAGGUGUAGCGGUGAAAUGCGUAGAGAUCUGAAGGAAUACCGGUGGCGAAGGCGGCCCCCUGGACAGAUACUGACACUCA